RNAcentral lists this non-coding RNA (84 nucleotides) under Nitrosospira multiformis. Lineage: Bacteria; Pseudomonadati; Pseudomonadota; Betaproteobacteria; Nitrosomonadales; Nitrosomonadaceae. The record is from RNAcentral.
UUCUAUGGGUGGUUCGUGUGGGGAGCCUUCGGGCUCGCCGGUCCUGGUUCCGGUCUGCGAACCCGCACGAAUCGGCCCACCACU